CAACUACUCCCUCCGUCCCAUAUUAAGUGUCACAACUUUGUCUAUAUACGCAUGUAUCUAGACUCGUUUUAGUGUGUAGAUACAUGCGUAUUUAGGCAAAGUUGCAACACUUAAUGUGGGACGGAGGGAGUAGAAG
Molecule: non-coding RNA, 136 nt
Organism: Brachypodium distachyon (stiff brome)
Lineage: Eukaryota; Viridiplantae; Streptophyta; Magnoliopsida; Poales; Poaceae
Source: Rfam